Molecule: ribosomal RNA, 34 nt
Filed under: Liliaceae sp. BOP010517
Lineage: Eukaryota; Viridiplantae; Streptophyta; Magnoliopsida; Liliales; Liliaceae
Description: partial 5.8S ribosomal RNA
Source: RNAcentral
UAUACGACUCUCGGCAACGGAUAUCUCGGCUCUC